Molecule: ribosomal RNA, 262 nt
Filed under: Dehalococcoidia bacterium
Lineage: Bacteria; Bacillati; Chloroflexota; Dehalococcoidia
Description: partial 16S ribosomal RNA
Rfam family: Bacterial small subunit ribosomal RNA
Source: RNAcentral
ACGUUGGCGAGUUUGAUCCUGGCUCAGGAUAAACGCUGGCGGCGCGCUUAAUGCAUGCAAGUCGAACGGUCCCGAGUUCGCUCGGGAUAGUGGCGAACGGGUGAGUAACGCGUGGGCGACCUGCCCUCCAGUGGGGAAUAACUCCGCGAAAGUGGGGCUAAUACCGCAUGACAUGGCCAGCUUGAAUGCUGGCCAUCAAAGCCUUCGGGCGCUGGAGGAGGGGCCUGCGUUCUAUCAGCUUGUUGGUAGGGUAAUGGCCUAC